GUGUUCGCUUUGGCAGCACAUAAACUAGAACUGGAAUGAUACAGGGAUGAUCGUGGCCCCUGCACAAAGAUGACAUGCACAUUCUUUUUUUUUUUUUUUUUUUU
Small nuclear RNA from Chlorocebus sabaeus (green monkey), 104 nucleotides. Lineage: Eukaryota; Metazoa; Chordata; Mammalia; Primates; Cercopithecidae. The record is from Ensembl.